Molecule: ribosomal RNA, 370 nt
Filed under: uncultured organism
Description: bacterial SSU rRNA
Rfam family: Bacterial small subunit ribosomal RNA
Source: RNAcentral
CGUAGGGUGCGAGCGUUAAUCGGAAUUACUGGGCGUAAAGCGUGCGCAGGCGGUUUUGUAAGACAGAUGUGAAAUCCCCGGGCUCAACCUGGGACCUGCAUUUGUGACUGCAAGGCUAGAGUACGGUAGAGGGGGAUGGAAUUCCGCGUGUAGCAGUGAAAUGCGUAGAUACGCGGAGGAACACCGAUGGCGAAGGCAAUCCCCUGGACCUGUACUGACGCUCAUGCACGAAAGCGUGGGGAGCAAACAGGAUUAGAUACCCUGGUAGUCCACGCCCUAAACGAUGUCAACUGGUUGUUGGGUCUUUACUGACUCAGUAACGAAGCUAACGCGUGAAGUUGACCGCCUGGGGAGUACGGCCGCAAGGUUG